Molecule: ribosomal RNA, 253 nt
Filed under: uncultured bacterium
Lineage: Bacteria
Description: partial 16S ribosomal RNA
Rfam family: Bacterial small subunit ribosomal RNA
Source: RNAcentral
UACGUAGGGUCCGAGCGUUGUCCGGAAUUACUGGGCGUAAAGAGCUCGUAGGUGGUUUGUCGCGUUGUCCGUGAAAACUCACAGCUCAACUGUGGGCGUGCGGGCGAUACGGGCAGACUGGAGUACUGCAGGGGAGACUGGAAUUCCUGGUGUAGUGGUGAAAUGCGUAGAGAUUGGGAAGAACACCAGUGGCGAAGGCGGCUAUCUGGACGGUUUCUGACGCUAAGACGCGAAAGCGUGGGGAGCAAACAGG